GAUGAACGCUGGCGGCGUGCCUAAUACAUGCAAGUCGAGCGAACGGACGAGAAGCUUGCUUCUCUGAUGUUAGCGGCGGGGGGGUGAGUAACACGUGGAUAACCUACCUAUCAGACUGGGAUAACUUCGGGAAACCGGAGCUAAUCCCGGAUAAUAUUUUGAACCGCAUGGUUCAAAAGUGAAAGACGGUCUUGCUGUCACUUAUAGAUGGAUCCGGGCUGCAUUAGGUAGUUGUUAAGGUAACGGAUUACCAAGGCAACGAUGCAUAGCCGACCUGAGAGGGGGAUCGGCCACCCUGGAACUGAGACACGGUCAAGACUCCUACGGGAGGCAGCAGUAGGGAAUCUUCCGCAAUGGGCGAAAGCCUGACGGAGCAACGCCGCGUGAGUGAUGAAGGCCUUCGGAUCGUAAAACUCUGUUAUUAGGGAAGAACAUAUGUGUAAGUAACUGUGCACAUCUUGACGGUACCUAAUCAGAAAGCCACGGCUAACUACGUG
RNAcentral lists this ribosomal RNA (497 nucleotides) under uncultured bacterium. RNAcentral's name for it is "partial 16S ribosomal RNA". It matches the Rfam family "Bacterial small subunit ribosomal RNA", at positions 28 to 507 of the family's 1533-position model. The record is from RNAcentral.